RNAcentral lists this ribosomal RNA (674 nucleotides) under Staphylococcus aureus. RNAcentral describes it as "bacterial SSU rRNA". It matches the Rfam family "Bacterial small subunit ribosomal RNA", at positions 1 to 657 of the family's 1533-position model. The record is from RNAcentral. Lineage: Bacteria; Bacillati; Bacillota; Bacilli; Caryophanales; Staphylococcaceae.
UUUAUGGAGAGUUUGAUCCUGGCUCAGGAUGAACGCUGGCGGCGUGCCUAAUACAUGCAAGUCGAGCGAACGGACGAGAAGCUUGCUUCUCUGAUGUUAGCGGCGGACGGGUGAGUAACACGUGGAUAACCUACCUAUAAGACUGGGAUAACUUCGGGAAACCGGAGCUAAUACCGGAUAAUAUUUUGAACCGCAUGGUUCAAAAGUGAAAGACGGUCUUGCUGUCACUUAUAGAUGGAUCCGCGCUGCAUUAGCUAGUUGGUAAGGUAACGGCUUACCAAGGCAACGAUGCAUAGCCGACCUGAGAGGGUGAUCGGCCACACUGGAACUGAGACACGGUCCAGACUCCUACGGGAGGCAGCAGUAGGGAAUCUUCCGCAAUGGGCGAAAGCCUGACGGAGCAACGCCGCGUGAGUGAUGAAGGUCUUCGGAUCGUAAAACUCUGUUAUUAGGGAAGAACAUAUGUGUAAGUAACUGUGCACAUCUUGACGGUACCUAAUCAGAAAGCCACGGCUAACUACGUGCCAGCAGCCGCGGUAAUACGUAGGUGGCAAGCGUUAUCCGGAAUUAUUGGGCGUAAAGCGCGCGUAGGCGGUUUUUUAAGUCUGAUGUGAAAGCCCACGGCUCAACCGUGGAGGGUCAUUGGAAACUGGAAAACUUGAGUGCAGAAGAGG